UGGGGAAUAUUGCACAAUGGGCGCAAGCCUGAUGCAGCCAUGCCGCGUGUGUGAAGAAGGCCUUCGGGUUGUAAAGCACUUUCAGCGAGGAGGAAGGGUUCAGUGUUAAUAGCACUGUUCAUUGACGUUACUCGCAGAAGAAGCACCGGCUAACUCCGUGCCAGCAGCCGCGGUAAUACGGAGGGUGCAAGCGUUAAUCGGAAUUACUGGGCGUAAAGCGCACGCAGGCGGUUUGUUAAGUCAGAUGUGAAAUCCCCGCGCUUAACGUGGGAACUGCAUUUGGAACUGGCAAGCUAGAGUCUUGUAGAGGGGGGUAGAA
Molecule: ribosomal RNA, 319 nt
Filed under: uncultured bacterium
Lineage: Bacteria
Description: partial 16S ribosomal RNA
Rfam family: Bacterial small subunit ribosomal RNA
Source: RNAcentral